AUUGAACGCUGGCGGCAGGCUUAACACAUGCAAGUCGAACGAUGAUUAUCUAGCUUGCUAGAUAUGAUUAGUGGCGGACGGGUGAGUAACAUUUAGGAAUCUGCCUAGUAGUGGGGGAUAGCUCGGGGAAACUCGAAUUAAUACCGCAUACGACCUACGGGUGAAAGGGGGCGCAAGCUCUUGCUAUUAGAUGAGCCUAAAUCAGAUUAGCUAGUUGGUGGGGUAAAGGCCCACCAAGGCGACGAUCUGUAACUGGUCUGAGAGGAUGAUCAGUCACACCGGAACUGAGACACGGUCCGGACUCCUACGGGAGGCAGCAGUGGGGAAUAUUGGACAAUGGGGGCAACCCUGAUCCAGCCAUGCCGCGUGUGUGAAGAAGGCCUUUUGGUUGUAAAGCACUUUAAGCAGGGAGGAGAGGCUAAUGGUUAAUACCCAUUAGAUUAGACGUUACCUGCAGAAUAAGCACCGGCUAACUCUGUGCCAGCAGCCGCGGUAAUACAGAGGGUGCGAGCGUUAAUCGGAAUUACUGGGCGUAAAGCGAGUGUAGGUGGCUCAUUAAGUCACAUGUGAAAUCCCCGGGCUUAACCUGGGAACUGCAUGUGAUACUGGUGGUGCUAGAAUAUGUGAGAGGGAAGUAGAAUUCCAGGUGUAGCGGUGAAAUGCGUAGAGAUCUGGAGGAAUACCGAUGGCGAAGGCAGCUUCCUGGCAUAAUAUUGACACUGAGAUUCGAAAGCGUGGGUAGCAAACAGGAUUAGAUACCCUGGUAGUCCACGCCGUAAACGAUGUCUACUAGCCGUUGGGGUCCUUGAGACUUUAGUGGCGCAGUUAACGCGAUAAGUAGACCGCCUGGGGAGUACGGCCGCAAGGUUAAAACUCAAAUGAAUUGACGGGGGCCCGCACAAGCGGUGGAGCAUGUGGUUUAAUUCGAUGCAACGCGAAGAACCUUACCUGGUCUUGACAUAGUGAGAAUCCUGCAGAGAUGCGGGAGUGCCUUCGGGGAUUCACAUACAGGUGCUGCAUGGCUGUCGUCAGCUCGUGUCGUGAGAUGUUGGGUUAAGUCCCGCAACGAGCGCAACCCUUUUCCUUAUUUGCCAGCGGGUUAAGCCGGGAACUUUAAGGAUACUGCCAGUGACAAACUGGAGGAAGGCGGGGACGACGUCAAGUCAUCAUGGCCCUUACGACCAGGGCUACACACGUGCUACAAUGGUAGGUACAGAGGGUUGCUACACAGCGAUGUGAUGCUAAUCUCAAAAAGCCUAUCGUAGUCCGGAUUGGAGUCUGCAACUCGACUCCAUGAAGUCGGAAUCGCUAGUAAUCGCAGAUCAGAAUGCUGCGGUGAAUACGUUCCCGGGCCU
RNAcentral lists this ribosomal RNA (1355 nucleotides) under uncultured bacterium. Its description in RNAcentral is "bacterial SSU rRNA". It matches the Rfam family "Bacterial small subunit ribosomal RNA", at positions 28 to 1381 of the family's 1533-position model. The record is from RNAcentral.